GAGUUAUGCGUAAAUACUUUUUGUAACAUAAAAACAAAAUAAAUUCAUUCAUACUGUAGCACAAUAAACUAUUAAAUUUACAAUAUCAAGUGGGCCCACAAUAACUAGAAUUAAAGAAGCUGUGAACCUACAGUUUGGAAGACGCAAUCCAAUGGAAAUCCCUGAUAGAACUAGCUAUCUACAGCUUAGUCUGAUCCUGAAAUGGGUGGAAAGGAGGGUGGUGAGAUUAUAAAAUCCCAGUGAGUAAACAAACGCCAUUUAAAUCAGCUAAAGCCGAGUAAAAGGAGACAAUUAAAAUAUCCCAUCAUUUUAAGUAUUUCACAAUUUGAAAAUUCAUCCCAACCCAUGCAAACGGUUGUAUUUCAUUUAAUUUCUCAUUAGGGCUUAUGACUUUCAUAAACAGUUGGCUCAUGCCAUCAAAUAUACUCGAUGACACCUUGAUCAGAGGCGUACACUCGAGCUCGCCAAGGCUGUUAAAAAUUUCAUAUGCACGUAAAAUAUAUUUUUUGUUUGAGAAAACACAGUCAUUCCUUGACGUUGGCUGAGUUCCCCUUCACGUGGUGGUUUGGCGUGAAGUGAACCCUAAGCUUUACCCCAGGAGAUACCCUACGCGCCUCUCCAUUCGAGGUAAGAAUAUAAUGGGGUUUACUAUGCCCCUCUAAAAGGCUGGUCCACAGAAACCCCCUACUGCACCACCAAUCAAUAAAAUUCAUUCUAGCAUGACGUGGCAAUUAUUAUAAUUCACAGCCUUUCAAGGCUAAAUACACAUUUGAUAUAUUUCAAUACCAAUGCCAAUUCAGCCAUUCAUGCAAAUACUGUCAUAAGCCAUUAGAUUGAUAAAUUUAAUUCAUAACAAGUGGUCUCCAAUUACUCUAUUUUUCAAAAUCAUCAUUCAAUUUUUAAACAAUUUAUAACAUCUUUUCAUGUAGACACAUUUUGUUUGUAAAACUCAAGGUUUACCAUUUAGUUUCAUUUUCAUAAAAUUUCAUCAAAAUCAAUUAAAAACAUACUUUAGAUAAUAAAAAUGAUGGUAAGGUUACUCACAGUACUAGGAGUUCGAUAUACUCUUAUUCCCGGUCUUCGAGCACAAUCUCUUUACCCUUGUUAGAGGGCUCACCACCUAUACAUCAUACGUGACACGAAUUUCAAUAAAUUGUGUCAAUUUAUCAUAAACUAUUUCAAGCUCUCUAAAUCUAAAUGACAGCAUGCGAUAGGAUGCAAAAUGUCUGAUUAAUCACUUAAAUGUGAUAUUCGACCUAAAUCACACUAUAAUCGGCCUAAUCGGUUAAAAUCUCCAAUUUAACUCCAAAUCAAUUCUUCUCACUUUCUACGCUCCAAUUAUACCGAAAUUACCUCAGUGACUGUGAAUGAAAUUCAAUUUAUUAGUCUCGGGUAAAUAAUCACACAUGUUUACACAUUAGGUAAAAAUUCAUAUUUUCAUACCAAAAUUUCCCAUUUUAUUUCUAGCCUCACCAAACAUCAAAUAUCACCCAAAUAUCAUGACAUAUCAUCAAUUUCAGCCACAGUAUCCUUCCUAGAAAAUUCGGCCAAUAAUGGUGAUGGGGGAACAUGAAUUCUUUUCUUGUUGUUUUGUUUCUAAAUAUGCUAAACUAACUAAAAACACUAACAUAACUUAAAAUCAAAUCAAUCUAACUUCAUUCUCUCUCCAUACCCAUUUGGGCAGCAAUGAAUUCAGCAUGAAAACAUGAAAUUUAACCAUGAAAAAUAAGGAGAAAAGCAUGGGAAAGGUAGAUCGCAAGUCAAAAUCAAUAAAUUUUACCUUUGAUUGCUUGAUUCCUUGAAAUCUCACACUUUUUCUUUAAUUUUCCCACCUAGGUUUCUUGUUUUUCUUUUCCUCUCUUUGUUCUUGCUAUGGUCGGCCACAUAAAGAGAAAAUAAGCUGAUUU
This 1907-nucleotide long non-coding RNA is filed under the name Theobroma cacao (cacao). Its description in RNAcentral is "long non-coding RNA (TCAC_LNC002437)". The record is from RNAcentral. Lineage: Eukaryota; Viridiplantae; Streptophyta; Magnoliopsida; Malvales; Malvaceae.